This 463-nucleotide long non-coding RNA is filed under the name Mytilus galloprovincialis (Mediterranean mussel). The record is from RNAcentral. Lineage: Eukaryota; Metazoa; Mollusca; Bivalvia; Mytilida; Mytilidae.
CAGGACCAUUCCCGAUUAAAAUUUGUCAAAAGUCUGAUCAAGAUCCUGUGAAUCGUGGAUGGAAAUUCGAUUUGUAUCUUUCGCCAGGUAAAUUUCGACCGAGUCUGUCACAACUGCGUCCCGAUUCUACCGAAUGUAAUCCGACAGAGAUCAGAUAGUGACAAGACAGUGAACCGACGCUGACGGAAGUUAUCCGUUCGAAAACUGUUGGCAUAAUCGAGAUGAUCGGGUACUGUCGGAACGUAAUCCUAUCACGGUCCGCUCUAUCGCAUUGCAAACGGCUUUGUCUGGUCUCAGUCGUAUUGUAUUCUGUUAUUAUCGGGACUUCUCCAGAUCAUUCCCGUUCCACAGGACACCGUCCCGAAAACACAGAACAUUGUUAGGAAUUCGAUCCGAUACAGCAGAAUCUGUCACGACAUAGGCACGAUUGUAAUCCGACUAGACAAAAUCGGCUGAGUUUCCC